This 427-nucleotide ribosomal RNA is filed under the name uncultured Enterobacteriaceae bacterium. RNAcentral describes it as "bacterial SSU rRNA". It matches the Rfam family "Bacterial small subunit ribosomal RNA", at positions 355 to 774 of the family's 1533-position model. The record is from RNAcentral. Lineage: Bacteria; Pseudomonadati; Pseudomonadota; Gammaproteobacteria; Enterobacterales; Enterobacteriaceae.
UGGGGAAUAUUGCGCAAUGGGCGCAAGCCUGAUGCAGCCAUGCCGCGUGUAUGAAGAAGGCCUUCGGGUUGUAAAGUACUUUCAGCGAGGAGGAGGGCAUUGUGGUUAAUAACCGCAGUGAUUGACGUUACUCGCAGAAGAAGCACCGGCUAACUCCGUGCCAGCAGCCGCGGUAAUACGGAGGGUGCAAGCGUUAAUCGGAAUUACUGGGCGUAAAGCGCACGCAGGCGGUUGAUUAAGUCAGAUGUGAAAUCCCCGAGCUUAACUUGGGAACUGCAUUUGAAACUGGUCAGCUAGAGUCUUGUAGAGGGGGUAGAAUUCCAGGUGUAGCGGUGAAAUUGCGUAGAGAUCUGGAGGAAUACCGGUGGCGAAGGCGGCCCCCUGCAGCAAAGACUGACGCUCAGGUGCGAAAGCGUGGGAGCAAACA